RNAcentral lists this ribosomal RNA (535 nucleotides) under Tympanis sp. RNAcentral's name for it is "partial 28S ribosomal RNA". It matches the Rfam family "Eukaryotic large subunit ribosomal RNA", at positions 99 to 654 of the family's 3401-position model. Lineage: Eukaryota; Fungi; Ascomycota; Leotiomycetes; Leotiales; Tympanidaceae. The record is from RNAcentral.
CGGCAUCAGCUCAAUUUGAAUCUGGCCUCACGGUCCGAGUUGUAAUUUGUAGAGAAUGCUUCGGGCGAGGUCCGGUCUAAGUUCCUUGGAACAGGACGUCAUAGAGGGUGAGAAUCCCGUAUGCGACCGGUCGCCUCCGCCCAUGUGAAGCUUCUUCGACGAGUCGAGUUGUUUGGGAAUGCAGCUCAAAAUGGGUGGUAUAUUUCAUCUAAAGCUAAAUACUGGCCAGAGACCGAUAGCGCACAAGUAGAGUGAUCGAAAGAUGAAAAGCACUUUGGAAAGAGAGUUAAACAGUACGUGAAAUUGUUGAAAGGGAAGCGCUUGCAACCAGACUUGCGCGCAGCCGAUCACCCGGUGUUCUCACCGGUGCACUCGGUUGCGCUCAGGCCAGCAUCGGUUCCGGCGGUUGGAUAAAGGCCCUGGGAAUGUAGCUCCUCUCGGGGAGUGUUAUAGCCCUGGGUGCAAUGCAGCCUGCUGGGACCGAGGACCGCGCUUCGGCUAGGAUGCUGGCGUAAUGGUUGUAAGCGACCCGUCU